CCCCUCCCUACUAAAAAUUAUAUAAUCAAUCGCUCCUCACAAUCCCAGGGCAGCCCUUUCUGCCCAAAGGUCCUGUUCCCAUGCUUUAAUAAAAACCACUUUUUU
Mustela erminea (ermine) is the source of this 105-nucleotide long non-coding RNA. RefSeq lists it as uncharacterized. The transcript has 3 exons. The record is from RefSeq and is a predicted model, not a curated record. NCBI's taxonomy places the organism in Eukaryota, Metazoa, Chordata, Mammalia, Carnivora, Mustelidae.